RNAcentral lists this non-coding RNA (30 nucleotides) under Rattus norvegicus (Norway rat). Lineage: Eukaryota; Metazoa; Chordata; Mammalia; Rodentia; Muridae. The record is from RNAcentral.
UUAAUAACUCUGAACCGUCUCCACCUUGGA